Molecule: transfer RNA, 68 nt
Filed under: Ixodes myrmecobii
Lineage: Eukaryota; Metazoa; Arthropoda; Arachnida; Ixodida; Ixodidae
Description: tRNA-Met
Source: RNAcentral
UAUAAAGUAAGCUAAAAUUAAUAAGCUAGUGGGCUCAUACCCCAAAUAUGAAUAUUACUCCUUUAUUA